AGCGUUGAAUUGAAGCCCGAGUAAACGGCGGCCGUAACUAUAACGGUCCUAAGGUAGCGAAAUUCCUUGUCGGUUAAAUACCGACCUGCAUGAAUGGCGUAACGAGAUGGGAGCUGUCUCAACCAGAGAUUCAGUGAAAUUGUAGUGGAGGUGAAAAUUCCUCCUACCCGCGGCAAGACGGAAAGACCCCGUGGACCUUUACUACAACUU
This 210-nucleotide ribosomal RNA is filed under the name Helicobacter pylori. Its description in RNAcentral is "partial 23S ribosomal RNA". It matches the Rfam family "Bacterial large subunit ribosomal RNA", at positions 1903 to 2112 of the family's 2925-position model. Lineage: Bacteria; Pseudomonadati; Campylobacterota; Epsilonproteobacteria; Campylobacterales; Helicobacteraceae. The record is from RNAcentral.